RNAcentral lists this ribosomal RNA (440 nucleotides) under uncultured bacterium. RNAcentral's name for it is "partial 16S ribosomal RNA". It matches the Rfam family "Bacterial small subunit ribosomal RNA", at positions 338 to 795 of the family's 1533-position model. The record is from RNAcentral.
CCUACGGGCGGCAGCAGUGGGGGAUAUUGCACAAUGGGGGGAACCCUGAUGCAGCGACGCCGCGUGGGUGAAGAAGCGCCUCGGCGCGUAAAGCCCUGUCAGCAGGGAAGAAAAUGACGGUACCUGAAGAAGAAGCCCCGGCUAACUACGUGCCAGCAGCCGCGGGAAUACGUAGGGGGCAAGCGUUAUCCGGAUUUACUGGGUGUAAAGGGGGCGCAGACGGCGAUGCAAGCCAGGAGUGAAAGCCCGGGGCCCAACCCCGGGACUGCUCUUGGAACUGCGUGGCUGGAGUGCAGGAGGGGCAGGCGGAAUUCCGGGUGUAGCGGUGAAAUGCGUAGAUAUCAGGAGGAACACCGGUGGCGAAGGCGGCCUGCUGGACUGCAACUGACGUUGAGGCCCGAAAGCGUGGGGAGCAAACAGGAUUAGAUACCCGGGUAGUC